GCUGCAGGAAUUCCCAAUACUAUCGAUACGGGUUGUGGGAGCAAGAGCCCGGAGAUGGAUUCUGAGACACGAAUCCAGGCCCUACGGGGCGCAGCAGGCGCGAAAACUUUACAAUGCAGGAAACUGUGAUAAGGGAACCCCGAGUGCCCGUAUGGACGGGCUGUUCAGGUGCUUAAAAACCACCUGGAGAAAGGGCCGGGCAAGACCGGUGCCAGCCGCCGCGGUAAUACCGGCGGCUCGAGUGGUGGCCACUAUUACUGGGCUUAAAGCGUCCGUAGCUUGGUCGUUAAGCCUCUGGGGAAAUCUUCCGGCUCAACCGGAAGGCGUCUCAGGGGAACUGGCGACCUAGGGAUCGGGAGAGGUGAGAGGUACUCUGGGGGUAGGAGUGAAAUCCUGUAAUCCUCAGGGGACCACCUGUGGCGAAGGCGUCUCACCAGAACGACUCCGACAGUGAGGGACGAAAGCUGGGGGAGCAAACCGGAUUAGAUACCCGGGUAGUCCCAGCCGUAAAC
RNAcentral lists this ribosomal RNA (512 nucleotides) under uncultured Methanofollis sp. RNAcentral's name for it is "bacterial SSU rRNA". It matches the Rfam family "Archaeal small subunit ribosomal RNA", at positions 244 to 758 of the family's 1478-position model. The record is from RNAcentral. Lineage: Archaea; Methanobacteriati; Methanobacteriota; Methanomicrobia; Methanomicrobiales; Methanomicrobiaceae.